RNAcentral lists this unclassified non-coding RNA (294 nucleotides) under uncultured fungus. RNAcentral describes it as "partial contains 5.8S rRNA, ITS2 and 28S rRNA". It matches the Rfam family "Eukaryotic large subunit ribosomal RNA", at positions 669 to 961 of the family's 3401-position model. The record is from RNAcentral. Lineage: Eukaryota; Fungi.
GAGGAGUCUAACAUCUAUGCGAGUGUUUGGGUGUCAAGCCCGGGCGCGUAAUGAAAGUGAACGGAGGUGGGAACCCUCUUCGGGGGGUGCACCAUCGACCGAUCCUGAUGUCUUCGGAUGGAUUUGAGUAAGAGCAUAGCUGUUGGGACCCGAAAGAUGGUGAACUAUGCUUGAAUAGGGUGAAGCCAGAGGAAACUCUGGUGGAGGCUCGCAGCGGUUCUGAGGUGCAAUCGAUCGUCAAAUUUGGGCAUAGGGGCGAAAGACUAAUCGAACUAUCUAGUAGCUGGUUCCUGC